AUUCUUAACAGCUCUCAAUUCCUUGCUGACACACAUGAACUUAGGGGCACUUCUGUUUUCCUGAGGGCUACACCGUUUUCUUUUGAAAGAGAUUCUUGAAGUGAAAAGUCCAAUAAAGCAAAGCAAAUCAGAUAAGCAAAUAAAGAAUGGUGAAUGUGACAAGGCAUACCUAGAUGAACUGGUAGAGCUUCACAGAAGGUUAAUGACGCUGAGAGAAAGACACAUUCUGCAGCAGAUCGUGAACCUUAUAGAAGAAACUGGACACUUUCAUAUCACAAACACAACAUUUGAUUUUGAUCUUUGCUCGCUGGACAAAACCACAGUCCGCAAACUACAGAGUUACCUGGAAACAUCUGGAACAUCCUGAGGAUAUGAAAACUGGAUGCAUCAAGAACAAUUGUAUUUUUUUUUUGUUUUUUUUUUUUGGUUGUGAUUUUUUGUUGUUGUUGUUU
RNAcentral lists this small RNA (452 nucleotides) under Pongo abelii (Sumatran orangutan). Its description in RNAcentral is "processed transcript". The record is from RNAcentral. Lineage: Eukaryota; Metazoa; Chordata; Mammalia; Primates; Hominidae.